Molecule: ribosomal RNA, 460 nt
Filed under: uncultured bacterium
Lineage: Bacteria
Description: partial 16S ribosomal RNA
Rfam family: Bacterial small subunit ribosomal RNA
Source: RNAcentral
CCUACGGGUGGCAGCAGUGAGGAAUAUUGGUCAAUGGGCUUACGCCUGAACCAGCCAAGUCGCGUGAGGGAAGACUGCCCUAUGGGUUGUAAACCUCUUUUGUCAGGGAGCAACGCCGGCUACGUGUAGCCGGACUGAGAGUACCUGAAGAAAAAGCAUCGGCUAACUCCGUGCCAGCAGCCGCGGUAAUACGGAGGAUGCGAGCGUUAUCCGGAUUUCUUGGGUUUAAAGGGUGCGUAGGCGGAAGGCCAAGUCAGCGGUAAAAUCGCGGGGCUCAACCUCGCUCCGCCGUUGAAACUGGCAGUCGUGAGUACAGUAGAGGUGGGCGGAAUGCGUGGUGUAGCGGUGAAAUGCUUAGAUAUCACGAAGAACUCCGAUUGCGAAGGCAGUUCACUGGACUGCAACUGACACUGAGGCUCGAAAGUGUGGGUAUCAAACAGGAUUAGAUACCCCAGUAGUC